RNAcentral lists this non-coding RNA (27 nucleotides) under Cricetulus griseus (Chinese hamster). The record is from RNAcentral. Lineage: Eukaryota; Metazoa; Chordata; Mammalia; Rodentia; Cricetidae.
UCAUAAGGCCUGACGGAGAGAAGAAGG